Molecule: ribosomal RNA, 253 nt
Filed under: uncultured bacterium
Lineage: Bacteria
Description: partial 16S ribosomal RNA
Rfam family: Bacterial small subunit ribosomal RNA
Source: RNAcentral
UACGGGGGGGGCAAGCGUUGUUCGGAAUUACUGGGCGUAAAGGGCUCGUAGGCGGCCAAUUAAGUCCGACGUGAAAUCCCAAGGCUUAACCUUGGAACUGCGUCGGAUACUGGAUGGCUUGAAUUCGGGAGAGGGAUGCAGAAUUCCAGGUGUAGCGGUGAAAUGCGUAGAUAUCUGGAGGAAUACCGGUGGCGAAGGCGGCAUCCUGGACCGACAUUGACGCUGAGGAGCGAAAGCUAGGGGAGCAAACGGG